Molecule: ribosomal RNA, 535 nt
Filed under: Hyla molleri
Lineage: Eukaryota; Metazoa; Chordata; Amphibia; Anura; Hylidae
Description: partial 16S ribosomal RNA
Rfam family: Bacterial large subunit ribosomal RNA
Source: RNAcentral
AAAAUUUAAUUUUUUUUAUGUUAACCUAACACAAGAGCAUUUCAAGUAAGAUUAAAAGAAAAAGAAGGAACUCGGCAAAUAUUAACCUCGCCUGUUUACCAAAAACAUCGCCUCUUGCCCCAUAUAAGAGGUCCAGCCUGCCCAGUGACUCUGUUCAACGGCCGCGGUAUCCUAACCGUGCGAAGGUAGCGUAAUCACUUGUUCUUUAAAUGAGGACUAGUAUGAACGGCACCACGAGGGUUAUACUGUCUCCUUUUUCCAAUCAGUGAAACUAAUCUCCCCGUGAAGAAGCGGGGAUAAACAUAUAAGACGAGAAGACCCUAUGGAGCUUUAAACUCAAUAACACUUGCUUUUAAACAUAAAUACUUCAGAGUAAUAAACACCCAUUACGGCCUCCUGAUUAUUAGUUUUAGGUUGGGGUGACCGCGGAGCAAAAAACAACCUCCACAUUGAACGGGGAACAUCCCCUGAGCCACGAGCCACAACUCUAUGCACCAAUAAAUUGACAUCUCUUGACCCAAUAUAUUGAUCAACG